AUCCAGAAGCCAGGGGAUUCCAAAGCUGCAAGCCUUUCCAGCAAACUGAAACAGGUUGGUCACCCUACAAGGACCUAGCUAGAGUGGUUAUUUAUUCCACUACAGAGAGCUGCCACUCCACCAGGAUACCAAGAACUUUUAUGUGCCAGUCACAGAUACACAGCUAGCUGAGAUGAUAGUUCCUGAAUACUCUGUUUUCAAAGGGUCAAGUAACCUUUGUGCUCCCUGGCAUGAAGGUCAGCUCACAGUUGCCCACUCUAUGGUCUAUUUGCAUGGCUUGCAGUGGGGAUGGUGGGCUUCAGUCUUGGGAGAGUUGGCAGGGCAGCUUCCAUCAGCCACUCCCAGCCAUCUGUACAACUUGUAAGAUGAGCGAACAUGAGUCAUCUCUGCUGCAGCAGCGCAAAGCACCCAUGGGGAGUUUAACCUCCGCCUAUUUCUAGAGAGGCAUUUAACGAAGACUGACCUAAUUCAAGCAAAAAUAGGUCUCGAUUAGUGUGUGACUAAUCUGCUGAUUUUUCUAGUUACGAAAGAACCUUUCACCAUGUUUGGCAACUAGCGUGAGGUGCUUGGUUAUGGCAAAGUUGCACUUUGGUUGUGUUAAUACUUCUCCUUAUUCUUCUUCCUUUCCCUCCCUCUCCUACUCACUUUUCUCUCUCCCUGUCUCAAGGAAAUUUAGGGGCUAGGAACCAAUCGUGGUGCCUGAAAACCCUCUCUUAUCGCUGGAUCUGGCAGAGUAGCUCUCAUUUUGCAUUAAAUAAAUAAGGAAAUUAGAAGUGAAGAAUAAAUAAAUGAAGGCUUGUCUCUGAGACAAGAGUAGAGGCAUUGUUUAAAAAUAGGUGUGUAAUAACCUAUUUGGACUGAUGUGAUCACAGCAUCUCUUAUGUGAGGGAUGAGGGCUUUCCCUCUUAACAGGAGACAGCACUUGUAUGCUUGGAGUGAUACACUUUGAAGAUGGAGGAAGGGUUCACAAGCCAAGGGAUACAGGUGGCCACUAGAAGCUGAAAAAGGCAAGGCAAGGAAUUCCAGAAAGAACUGGCCCUCCUACACCUUGGCUUUAGUCUAGUGAAACUGAUUUUGGACUUCUGAACUCCAGAACUAUAAGAGGAUAAAUGUGUAUGGUUUCAAGCCACAAGUUUGUAUAAUUUGUUGCAGUAGCCAAAGGAAAUAUACACCAUUUUAACUAACUUGCUUGCUCAUUCUUUGGAAAUUACAGAUUCCUAUGUGUGCCCCACCAACCAGUCAUCAGAUCCUGCCCAGUCCUCUCCUAAACAGACUUCUCCGUCCUGUCCGCGUCUCUCCAUCUCUGCUGUCCUCAUCUUUGCCCAGGCUCCCCUCACCUGCUCUCCUAAAUGAAUCUCUCCCCUUUGAACUCCAUUUUCCUCACUUCUCCCCUAAUGUUUCUGUUUUGUUUUUUUGCAAAUCAGACCAGGUUAUUCCUCUGCUUCAGACCACCUCAGUGGCUGCCCACUGAUGUCAGUAUAAGGGGAUAAAGAGUCACAGGUCAGAAGGUUUGUUACCACGGUUCCCAGAGGCUCCUGGGAAACAGCUCCUCUUGGGUUCUUCUGAGCGCUUAACAGAGGGGUUUACCUGGGCGGUGCUGGGCUGGGCUGUGUUAGGCUGGGGAGAGGGGUGGAGUCAAAGGUGAUAAGUGGGAGCUGUUGUCCAGGCUGCGGGGUCACCCUGUAUGAGCCGUUGUCAUAACGGUGUGAUCUCAACAUUAAUGGGAUGCAUGAGCAGAGGCAUUCCCUGGCGCUUUUUCAGAUUCACCUACACUGAGAAUGGCUUCAGUGUCAUGUUUGGGAGUGGAACCUAGAGGAGAUGGUUAAGCCUCCACAGGGUCUGAUGUGACCCUCACUCACUCAUAUUGUCUAUCACCUUUAGCUGUGAAUUCUCAGUGUGAAAUUUGGUGGCCAGAAAAUUGUAUCUCUGUCUUGGAGAAUGUUGUUAUUUCUCUCUGGUGUACACCAACUAUCCUUUGUUCUUUAUCCUUUAGAUAGAACACCUGGUCUGACUUACCCAUGUCUGUGUCUAGUUGUCCCAUAAUUUAAUACUUGCCAUUGCCAUUGGCUAACACGGUGGUUGGGUGAAGGCUGAGCUCUGAACACAACUUCUGUGCUCUCCCUUAAGGCUCCAGCCUUAUCCCGUCACAAUCCCUCUCAAACCCUGCCCUUGAACCACUGCAAACUAUUUUCUCCCACAACUCCACCUGGCAGUCUCUUCCCCAUCCUUAUGGCCCAUCUAACCCCUGUCAUCCUUCUGGCCUCAAUUCAAAUACCAGCUCUUCCCAGAGGCUGUUUCUGACUCCCAAACCCCUCCUCAGGGCUUCUGUAGUGUUCCCCACCCUAUAAGAAUCACACUGUGUGGCAACGGUUUAUUUGUUGUCUGGAACUCCGUUAGAUGGUGGAUAGUCGAAGCCACUGCUUUACCUGGCUUGUUUAUUAUCAAAACCCUAGUGCUUGGCACCAUGGCACAUGAUUAACAAAUACGUCUGACAAAUGGGUGAAUAGAUUCAUAAUAAUAGCAAUCAUGUUUUACGGAAUGUUUGCCAUGUGAUAGGCACCAUGCCAAGUAGUAUGUGUGUGUAUACUGUUGACCAUUGAACCACAUAGGCUUGAACUUGUAUGCAGGCUUUUUUCAAUAAAUACAGUACCCGUAUUUUCAUUUUAUGGACUCUUAUUUAUUUAUUUGGUCUUUUUUAGGGCGGCACCUGUGUCAUGUGGAAAUUCCCAGGCUAGGGGUCAAAUCAGAGCUAUAGCCACUGGCCUAUACCAUAGCCACAGCAACGUGGGAUCUGAGCAGCAUCUGUGACCCACACCACAGCUCAUGGCAACGCUGGAUCCUUUAACCCCCUGAGAGAGGCAAAGGAUUGACCUGCAUCCUCAUGGAUCCUAGUGGGGUUCAUUACCACUGAGCCAUGAUGGGAACUCCAGUUUUUUUUAGAUUUCUAAAUUAAAAUAACGUUUGUGUUGAUUCAGAAAUCACAAUAUGUAGAAUCAAAAGAACUAAGGUUUGACUCCUGAUUCUAUCCAUAUUGUUUCAGCUUCCUGUCCUUGGUUGAGUCAUUUGUCAGUUCCUAUAUUUUUGAGACAGAGAGAGCAGUAGGCGGAUUUUGGAGGUUUAGGUGAUUGGUGUCCCUAAACCUGCAUUGCUCAAAGGUCAACUGUAAUAUCUAAUCCUAAGUACAACUAUACUAGGUUUGUCUUGUUAUUCUAAUUCUAUAGUUGGGAAAACCAAGGAUUAGCGGCUAAGUAACAUAGCCACAAUCACGAUUCAAUGUGUAACUGGAACUUGGCCCAGAUCUACCUGUUUACUGAGCUGUGUUUCUAUAAGGCACCUUUCCUCUCAGACCCCGCCCAGCCAUUCACAGUGUACUUCAUCCAAGUCAAGCCAUUAGAUCUAGAGGCCAAGGAAAGCAGCGUUUCCUGUGGCCUGGGAACUGGGCCUGGAUUCUGCCCUUUAUUUCCAGGACUCAGUAGUUUGAUGUCUCAGCUCUUCCUCUGAAUUCCUUUGAUGCAAGAGCUCUGUUUCACGCCUGAUCUUUCCCUAAAACCUCCUGGGACUGUUGCAGGGGUUGUAAAUGGGGAUGGUGCUGGGGGAUGUGAAGACUCGGAUUUUUUUGUGUGCUUAUUUCAAAGGAGAGAGUCCCUUGCUUCCAUUAGAUUUCCAAAGGAAUUUUCUGGAUGUGUGAGCAAAAGGGCUCCCUGGGUAUUUUUCAGCCUGUUUUCUUCCCUUCUGUUUUGAAACUUGUGUUAGGGUUGCUGGAGCCACUUCAAGAGCCUACAGUGGUUGUUUAGAUUCACAGGAGAUCUCCUUGAUCUCUGGAAAACCCAUGUUUGAGUUUUUCUAAAUCUUACAUCCCUCACAUCUGAACAAGAUUGGGCCAGAACUGACAUCUAGGCUCCUGCCUGCUCUAACAGUCUGGUUCUGUGAUUCCUGUGUGUAUAGAAUCAUUUAAAUAUCAGCAGACAGGGGCAGCAGUUAUUUUUGCAUACCCAUGUGGUCUUGCAUGCAGAAGCAGAGGCCAGAGAUUUGGAAGCAAUGCCCCGAGGCCUGGGUGUCCCCUUCCUAGAUGGACUGACAGUCGUUGAUUCACACUGCUCUGUCCUGUUGGUACCCUAACAAUUCUGCAAAGCAUUGUACAGUCUAGUUAUGUCUAGUCAUGCCUGGUGAACAAAGCGUUUUUAUUGACCACCUAACAGUGUUUUUUUAAAAGGAUUAAUCUGACUCUUCUUUCUUUGAAUGGAGUGACAAUCAAGCCAUUGAUGCUGAAUUUAUGUUUCUCUUACAUGUGCCUUUGAUUUGUGAGUUGCUUCCUAUGUCACACUGCCUUGGAUAUGGCUGUGUUUCUAUAUUUACUGUGUUUUAAUGUUUCCAUGAACUUUAUUGCUACUUUUACAAUUACUAUCUCCACUAGCAUUUCUUCCAUCCUGUUAUUAAACGAAUAUGGAAAUUAGAAGUGAAGAAUAAGCAACUUAGGAUUUGUUUCUUUGGAGGCAUUAUAUAGAAAUAGUUAGAGAACAAUGAUUUGCCUGUUUUUAUUUAUUUAUUUAUUUAUUUUUAUCUUUUUGCCUUUUCUAGGGCCACAUCUGUGGCACAUGGAGGUUCCCAGGCUAGGGGUCUAAUCAGAGCUGUAGUCGCCGGCCUCCACCAGAGACACAGCAGUGCAGGAUCCAAGAUGCGUCUGCGACCUACACCACAGCUCACGGCAAUGCCAGAUCCUUAACCCACUGAGCAGGGCCAGGGAUCCAACCUGAAACCUCAUGGUUCCUAGUCGGAUUCACUAACCACUGAGCCACGACAGGAACCCCUGAUUUGCCUGUUUUUAAAGUUAAUUUCUUCCCUUUUCAUUAGAUUCUGUCUGAGGAUCAGAUUGUCCUCUGUUUCACUAAUGGAAGAGGAGCACAUCUUUGUGGUUAGAACAUGUCUCUAAAGAGUUCAGUUCCUUGGGUUUAGGGGGGUUGGAGAACUCCUACAUGAUGAUAAGGAUGGUGUUCCCAGACUUUUAUCGAAUGACUGUUAGGGGGCAGACACUGACUAUUCUCUUUACAUGCAGUAAUCUGUCCUCUCCAUACAACCACCCUAUGAGGUUGUUGCUACUAUUGUUCCCAUUUUAAAAAUGAAGAAAGUAUGUUUUAGGCUAAGAGGCUUGCUCAAGGGCACACAGUGAAGGAUUGGUGCACCGAUUUGACCUUUGUUGGGUCUGACUCCAGCACUUGCAUUUACAGCCUCUCUUUUCUUCUUUCUCUGUGCUGCCUCUUAUGCUUGGGGUGUUCCAGAGUCAGCUACAUCUGUGACUAGUCCCAGCAUUUUGCGUUGAAGGAACAGACACCUUUAGUUUGGGAGUUUGCACAGCUUAUUAACAAAGGAACGUGGUAUGCAAGUAAAGACAAGUUUGUAAUAUCCUAGAGGCAAACUUUAGGUUAAAGGCCAUGUGUUGGGGUAACCAACAGAUGCUCAGAAGCAUAAUACAGAAACACCAGAAAAAAAAAUAGCAUCUAUUUUUCUUUACAUGGGUUUCCCAGUGCCAUUACCCUGUGAAAUACCAUGGACCUAAGGUCUAUAUUAGGAGAAAACAUAGAAAAAAAAAUCACCAAUCCAUGUAAAAAUUCCUUGCAGACCAGCCUUUGCCUUAACAAACCAAUUAGUCAUCCUAUUAAAAAUAUGAAGAUAAGGAAAACCAUUGCUCACAUUCUAUCUUUCCUGAUCCUGUGGUGAUGGAAGCCAUGGCAAAGAAACAGCGACUGGAAAAUGAUAAAAACCUGAGAGUUGAACAAGAUUUUGCAAGUUUUCAAUCCAGCCUCCAAGGACCUAGACCAUUUUCUUAUAAUUAAGACCAUCUAAAAUAUGGUGCAGUCAUUCUUGCUUCAUAAAACAGUAUUUCUUAGGGCUUGAGAAGCUCUCUUUGAUGGAACUGCAGAAAUGGGAGACUUAUCCUAGGAUUCUGUUUUUUAUUUAAUUGAUAAUAUAAGUAUUCAGCUUAAGAUAAUAAGCCUAACACUAGGAUGAGAAGAUGUUGCUGCUGCCCCAGGGAGAAUGAGACAGAAAGUUGUUCUCCAAAUGGAGAACUUAAGGGAUCACUAGACCCAGGGACUGAUUCUUUUUAUUAAGGAAGCUUCGAUGGUUAAAUGAGAAGUGACAUGGGCACAAGGAAAGAAUGGACAAGUCUUUCCCGGAAGCCUUGGGGAGUCUGCUCCAUGCUGAACUUGGCAGCUAAGCUGGUGUCCCAUUAUCUUUCCCUUCUUUGGGGAGGGAGGCUGGUAAUAGUUCUUCUAGUCCUGGAGCCGCAUUUGUGGAGUUCCUGUCGUGGCUCAGGAAACAAAUCUGACAUCCAUGAGGACGCAGGUUUGAUCUCUAGCCUUGCUUGGUCAGUUAAGGAUCCAGUGUUGUGAUCCAUUGGUCAAAGACAUGGCUCGGAUCUGAUGUUGCUGUGCCUCUGGUGUAGGCCAGUGGCUUCAGCUCUGAUUUGACCCCUAGACUGGGAACCCCCAUGUGCCA
RNAcentral lists this long non-coding RNA (6495 nucleotides) under Sus scrofa (pig). Its description in RNAcentral is "lncRNA (ENSSSCG00015064469.1)". The record is from RNAcentral. Lineage: Eukaryota; Metazoa; Chordata; Mammalia; Artiodactyla; Suidae.